Shewanella baltica OS155 is the source of this 49-nucleotide non-coding RNA. Lineage: Bacteria; Pseudomonadati; Pseudomonadota; Gammaproteobacteria; Alteromonadales; Shewanellaceae. The record is from Rfam.
GCUUAGGGACGACCCUAAACAUGCCUUAAUUUGGUAGGGGACGACCCCU